GAACAUUGCAGGGUACAAAGACUAAUAAUACAACAAGUACUAAGUUUGUGGAAAUGGAUCAUGCAUCCAGCUAAAAAGAUCAUCUUCUUGUAACUCUAAAAUCCUCAGUUAAACCUUCUUCGAAAUUAAAGAGCAUUGGGGUGAACCAACCAUUGUAGCCUAACCUUUAAUAGAAACGAAAGCAGAGCCUAACCUUUAACAGAAGCGAAAGCAGGGUUUAAAAGCUUCAUGUUGGAAGAAGUGAGUUGCACCGCUUGGGUAGACAAAGCUCCCUUUCCGGAUU
RNAcentral lists this long non-coding RNA (283 nucleotides) under Arachis ipaensis. RNAcentral's name for it is "long non-coding RNA (AIPA_LNC002467)". Lineage: Eukaryota; Viridiplantae; Streptophyta; Magnoliopsida; Fabales; Fabaceae. The record is from RNAcentral.